ACCAUGACCACGGCUCGGCUCAGCCCAGCCACCCGUCCCGAGCGCUGAGGAUCAGCGGUGCCCCGAAAUUGCUUUCUUUUCAAAUCUGCAGGUGACAUUCCUAAUCCCCGCAUUCCUUUGCUUUCGCCGCCGCCGGACAGGACCACAAGCCGCCGAUGGAGGUGGUAUCGAUGCAGCCUCCUCUCCUCAGGGCUUCGAGACCAUUCGCGUCACCGUAAUAGUUCCUGGCAUCUGCAGCCACUACUGGUGAUGGGUUUGGUCGCUCCAUGGGAUCCUUUUUUUUCAAUGCUGUUCUGACGGAGAUGUCCGUGAUGGGCUCAAGCAGCCGCAGCUCCGACAUAAACCUGGGCAAAUCUGGGCGCAGGAACACGGUUUGUGAUACAUAACUUAUGUUUUGCUGUUGGAUCGACCGCCAAUUUCCCCAAUUCGUUGCAGACUAAAGUACUAAACUUGAUUUUCAGUCACCACUGGGAUGGAGAUUUAUUCUUAUACUAACAAUGAUGAUCACGCCUGUGAUUCGCUCAGCGUUACAACAAGCAAACUGGCGUACAAUAUGCAUCUCUAGGAUCACCACUGAAAAACAAUCCUCAUCAUUCUGGUCACCACAUUAUUAUGUUGGGAACUUAGAACUACCUUUCUCUGAACAUCAUGUACCAUAUAUAGCCAUGGGAAUUAUUGUAAAUAUGCAUCUCUAGGAUCUUUUGCCGCUCAUCUAGUAAAUUAAAUGUAUUACUAUGAGCUGUAUGGAUGACGAGCAAGGAAGCAAUAUGUUUUUCAUGAAACUUGAUUUAUAGUCAAAACAACAGUUAAUGUAUUUCAUGCUAUGCGCACAAUAAUCGAUUAAUCUUUUAGAGUUUCCAUGUUUCAAUUUUAUUCAGCAUUUGGCACUUGUUUAUUUCCGAAUUUCUGAUCAAAUAUAGGCUACCAUGUUUGUGGUGCCCAUUCAGCCUUGCACCUGGAUGUUACAAUAAUUGACCUGAUAGUCAAUUAGCCAUCUACUAUCCUAGAUUUGUGCUCUGAGUUGUAUGCUGCAAAUAACAAGUCAAUUGUGCUAUCUGAAAGAUAGAGUUUUGGGUGGGCUUCUUCAGCUAUCAGCAGAGAGGUCAGGGAGCAGGGAACUAGUUUUUGAUGGACCAACUCCCUCACCACGUACAUAUUUAUGUUAAUUGUUUUGUUAAUAAAUUGUGCACGAAACACCUUUACUUGACCUCAUAGAGGCAUCUACUACACCUACUGGCCACUCGCAGCUGCCAUUGCCGCUAUAGAGGAGCUAUUAUUUCUGAUCAUUCUGAUUGGCAAGCUAGAUCUGUCUUUCUUUUUACUGGGAAUUAUAUUGUAUGAUUGCCUACCUUUCCAGCGCAAUCUAGUUCGUUAUUUCAAAUUUUUGUCAAACUACAAAUGCAGGAAAAGGUACCUCAAUUCAGGUCAAGCCUCUCCUCUGCAUGUUUUACAAUCCAGUAACCCACUGAGCAUGAUCAAGAAGCUUUCGGCUCGAUAACAUCCGCAGGCCUUCAUCAUGAUAUCUGCAUGCCUAGUGUUUAUUGUUUUGUACUUCUAUUUUUGUUUACCCCAUGCACAAAUGCAUGGGUGUGUUAUGUAUUGAAGCUCGAUGCACAAAUUAAAUAAAACCUUAUCGUAAAUCACAGAUAAGGCGCAUUGACGCUCGUUCUAUU
This is a long non-coding RNA of Panicum virgatum (switchgrass), 1673 nucleotides long. RefSeq lists it as uncharacterized. NCBI's taxonomy places the organism in Eukaryota, Viridiplantae, Streptophyta, Magnoliopsida, Poales, Poaceae. The record is from RefSeq and is a predicted model, not a curated record. The transcript is spliced from 2 exons.